GUGCAAAUGAUAGAAAAAAAAAAUCACUGUUUGUAAGGGGAAAAAAAUGACAUGAACAAAGGAACCACUGAUGCAC
Molecule: small nucleolar RNA, 76 nt
Filed under: Moschus moschiferus (Siberian musk deer)
Lineage: Eukaryota; Metazoa; Chordata; Mammalia; Artiodactyla; Moschidae
Description: Small nucleolar RNA SNORD42 (ENSMMSG00000008674.1)
Rfam family: Small nucleolar RNA SNORD42
About the family: snoRNA U42 is found in intron 3 of the ribosomal protein L23a (RPL23a) gene in humans and is also present in mice. U42 is a member of the C/D class of snoRNA which contain C (UGAUGA) and D (CUGA) box motifs.
Source: Rfam by way of RNAcentral